GCUUCAUUGAUAUUGACGGUGCUACAGUCGUUAGCGAUCCGUUAUCCUCGCAAGAAUUUGCCCGGUAGCGUAUAAGCAAAACACAAAUCUAUCCAUGCAAGCAUUUACCGCUGGUGAACCGGCGGUUUUUUUUUGCCUGCCAUCCAGACAAAAGCGGCCCCUUGCGCAACGAUGCAGCAAGGGGCCGGCUCUGCGAGGGAUUAUCUCCGUUCAUUAAUCA
Salmonella enterica subsp. enterica serovar Enteritidis is the source of this 220-nucleotide non-coding RNA. The record is from Rfam. Lineage: Bacteria; Pseudomonadati; Pseudomonadota; Gammaproteobacteria; Enterobacterales; Enterobacteriaceae.